UAAAAGUGAAAACUUUAAACUCUAAGGACUUGGCGGUGUCCCACCCAUACUAGAGGAGCCUGUCCUAUAAUCGACACCCCACGCUAUACCUCACCCCCCCUAGCCAACCAGCCUAUAUACCGCCGUCGCCAGCUCACGCUGUGAACCCACAACCGUAAGCAUAAUCAUCACCCAUUAAAACGACAGGUCAAGGUGUAGUUAAUGGGGGGGGCAGUGAUGGGCUACAUUUUCUUCACUAGAAAAUACCACCCGCACCAUGAAACCUUUGCCCAAAGAC
Molecule: ribosomal RNA, 277 nt
Filed under: Pristurus rupestris rupestris
Lineage: Eukaryota; Metazoa; Chordata; Lepidosauria; Squamata; Sphaerodactylidae
Description: partial 12S ribosomal RNA
Rfam family: Bacterial small subunit ribosomal RNA
Source: RNAcentral